Molecule: long non-coding RNA, 338 nt
Organism: Drosophila biarmipes
Lineage: Eukaryota; Metazoa; Arthropoda; Insecta; Diptera; Drosophilidae
Exons: 3
Source: RefSeq, a predicted model, not a curated record
GUUGUUUCGUUUUGACUCUGUAUAAUGUCGAUCCAAUUAUUUUGGAUUUGAUGACUUCUACAGCCAAAACCUCGAAUGUAAGGUUAACCAACUUCAAAGCUCUUACGAAUCUCUGAAGGUGUAUCCUUUGCCCGUUAAACCCCGGGAUGGCAUUUGAUAUUUCUUUAAUGUAUGACCUUUGGGCAAUUAUCUCCUCAGUCAUUGUGGUUGGUUUUAUUUCUACAGUGCUGUUGUUAGAAUCCGCGUCAGUCAAGUCCUGGUCUGAUAAAUCAGAUUGAAUGAGGACUGCCGGAAUAGUGAGGUAGUUUAUAUCUUUUUCCUAUAUAUAGGGAUCUGUA